RNAcentral lists this non-coding RNA (183 nucleotides) under Paenalicyclobacillus cycloheptanicus. RNAcentral's name for it is "Alicyclobacillus cycloheptanicus 6S RNA". It matches the Rfam family "6S / SsrS RNA". From Rfam's summary of the family: E. coli 6S RNA was the first non coding RNA to be sequenced, but its function was unknown until recently. Lineage: Bacteria; Bacillati; Bacillota; Bacilli; Caryophanales; Alicyclobacillaceae. The record is from RNAcentral.
GGCGCCCUGCGCUGUUGGUGUUAACCCAUUGUGUUUUGAGCCAACACCCAUUCUACGGGAGUCCGAAGUCUCUACCAGGCGCAAACGCCUCGCGCGGCGAGGACUUGCAAGCUGGAUGAGCAGGGCACCCACCUGCGAGAGCAGGUUCAAAACCGCGGGUUUCACGGCAUUUGCGGGGCAUGU